Molecule: transfer RNA, 65 nt
Filed under: Neotoma lepida (desert woodrat)
Lineage: Eukaryota; Metazoa; Chordata; Mammalia; Rodentia; Cricetidae
Rfam family: tRNA
About the family: Transfer RNA (tRNA) molecules are approximately 80 nucleotides in length. Their secondary structure includes four short double-helical elements and three loops (D, anti-codon, and T loops). Further hydrogen bonds mediate the characteristic L-shaped molecular structure. tRNAs have two regions of fundamental functional importance: the anti-codon, which is responsible for specific mRNA codon recognition, and the 3' end, to which the tRNAs corresponding amino acid is attached (by aminoacyl-tRNA synthetases). tRNAs cope with the degeneracy of the genetic code in two manners: having more than one tRNA (with a specific anti-codon) for a particular amino acid; and 'wobble' base-pairing, i.e. permitting non-standard base-pairing at the 3rd anti-codon position.
Source: Rfam by way of RNAcentral
GGCAUAGCUCAGUGGUAGAGCACUUGCCCAGCAUGCAUGUGACCCUGGGUUCAAAUCCCAAUACC